RNAcentral lists this unclassified non-coding RNA (343 nucleotides) under Hevea brasiliensis (rubber tree). Lineage: Eukaryota; Viridiplantae; Streptophyta; Magnoliopsida; Malpighiales; Euphorbiaceae. The record is from RNAcentral.
AGAAAAUGGGACAAGCUCUGGGUUGUAUUCAAGUGGACCAGUCAACUGUAGCUGUCAAGGAAACCUUUGGGAAGUUCAAUGAGGUGCUUGAACCUGGUUGUCACUGUUUGCCUUGGUGUUUGGGGAGCCAGCUAGCAGGUCAUCUUUCGUUACGUGUGCAGCAGCUGGAUGUUCGAUGUGAAACUAAAACCAAGGAUAACGUGUUUGUUAAUGUGGUUGCUUCUAUUCAAUACCGGGCACUGGCAGAAAAGGCUGCAGAUGCUUUCUAUAAGCUCAGCAAUACCAGAGCACAGAUCCAAGCCUAUGUCUUUGAUGUUAUUAGGGCAAGUGUUCCAAAGUUGGA